Molecule: ribosomal RNA, 253 nt
Filed under: uncultured bacterium
Lineage: Bacteria
Description: partial 16S ribosomal RNA
Rfam family: Bacterial small subunit ribosomal RNA
Source: RNAcentral
GACAGAGGGUGCAAACGUUGUUCGGAAUUAUUGGGCGUAAAGCGCGUGUAGGCGGCUUUGCAAGUCGGGUGUGAAAGCCCUCAGCUUAACUGAGGAAGUGCGCCCGAAACUGCAGAGCUUGAGUACCGGAGAGGAUGGUGGAAUUCCCCAAGUAGAGGUGAAAUUCGUAGAUAUGGGGAGGAACACCGGUGGCGAAGGCGACCAUCUGGACGGAUACUGACGCUGAGACGCGAAAGCGUGGGUAGCAAACAGG